RNAcentral lists this signal recognition particle RNA (97 nucleotides) under Candidatus Gullanella endobia. RNAcentral's name for it is "Bacterial small signal recognition particle RNA". It matches the Rfam family "Bacterial small signal recognition particle RNA". From Rfam's summary of the family: The signal recognition particle (SRP) is a universally conserved ribonucleoprotein involved in the co-translational targeting of proteins to membranes. Lineage: Bacteria; Pseudomonadati; Pseudomonadota; Gammaproteobacteria; Enterobacterales; Enterobacteriaceae. The record is from Rfam by way of RNAcentral.
UGUUGGUUCUCUUGAAAUGCUAUCUUGUAAACUCGGUCAGAUCUGGAAGGAAGCAGCCGUAGCAAGUGAUGUAUGUGCCAAGAUGCUGCUAUCAGGA